GAGGAGCCUCGCACGAUCCUCUUCUCGCUCACUGGCCCGCAGCCACUCCUCCUCAAUCCCUCUCCUCCUCUCAUCAAUCUUCCGCUCGUAGGCGCGGCCAUCUCCCCGACCCCCCUGCUCGAUCCCCGUCGCCCUCCUCUCCUACCUCGUGCCUCUGCUUCUCCUCGCGUCGCCCAGAGCGCUCUCGCGCCGCCAUCGUGGCUCUGCCGGACACCGGCGACCCGGAGCGCCACGUCUCCACCCCUGCCAUGUGCACCGCGCCUAUCUUCGUCGACACCAACAGGUGCAGGAGCCCUCAUGGCUGUCGCCACCGUCCUGCCUACUCCAUUGGAGCUCCGCGCCACCGGAUUGGGUCGCCUCCACCUUGGAGCUCUACCUCCCUGCUUCGCCAGUGGCUGCAUCCCCAUCGUGCCCGAGGACAAGCCCUUCGAGCAGGAGGGCUUCUCCUGCCCGAACCCUCAAGGAGAGCUGUUGCCGUGCGCACCUCCUCCCGUCCCCAGCGCCUGUCAUUGCCCCGCACCUCACCCCGCGUCCAAGCCGUGCUAUCGCCGCUAUUGCACCUACGGCCUCCUAUCUUGCUUCUUUUUGGACCAGCAAGAACGUCACGAAGAACCCUAUGCAGACGCAUCGUCUCCAGGAUUUUGGCCAAGUACCUCUACAUGCGGACUCACCAAGUACACGACUCGGAUGCGCCAAGUUUGACUAUGAACGGCUACACGUCCGACCCCGUAUUCGAUCCUCAAGCGCCAAGUUCCACUACCGCUGUCGUGAAUCCGACGAGACCAAGUGUACAACUACGCCCAGCGAUGCAACAAGUACCUCUACCGUCGACGUGUACGACGACCUUCGACA
Triticum urartu is the source of this 852-nucleotide non-coding RNA. The record is from RefSeq and is a predicted model, not a curated record. Lineage: Eukaryota; Viridiplantae; Streptophyta; Magnoliopsida; Poales; Poaceae.